AUGAACGUUAGCGGCGCGCCUGAUGCACGCAAGUCGAACGCCCAAGUCGUCCGCAAGGAUGACAAGGGAGUGGCAAACGGCUGAGUAACGCGUAAGUAACCUACCUCCAAGUGGGGAUAACUUGCCGAAAGGCAGGCUAAUUCUGCAUGUGCUGAUAAGCAAAUAGUUUUUCAGUAAAGCUUUCGAGCGCUUAGAGAAGGGCUUGCGUCUGAUUAGCUAGUUGGUAGGUAACGGC
Molecule: ribosomal RNA, 235 nt
Filed under: uncultured bacterium
Lineage: Bacteria
Description: partial 16S ribosomal RNA
Rfam family: Bacterial small subunit ribosomal RNA
Source: RNAcentral